CUCAUCGUUCACGACCAACGUUCGCGCGCUCUUCAUCGCCGGUCCGCCAAAAGUACAAGCAUGAAAAAACGUAACAACAUAGCAAUAAAAAGGACUCAAAAGUUUGAAAGCCGCAAAAGAAAUGGUAUCCGAAUGCCGAAGGAGAAAUUUCUAGAUCAAUUUUGCUGAAGACAUUAUUAACAAUUCUAUAAGGAUAAAGUAUAAGAGAGAC
Non-coding RNA from Nylanderia fulva, 211 nucleotides. The record is from RefSeq and is a predicted model, not a curated record. NCBI's taxonomy places the organism in Eukaryota, Metazoa, Arthropoda, Insecta, Hymenoptera, Formicidae.